Molecule: transfer RNA, 69 nt
Filed under: Rattus norvegicus (Norway rat)
Lineage: Eukaryota; Metazoa; Chordata; Mammalia; Rodentia; Muridae
Rfam family: tRNA
About the family: Transfer RNA (tRNA) molecules are approximately 80 nucleotides in length. Their secondary structure includes four short double-helical elements and three loops (D, anti-codon, and T loops).
Source: Rfam by way of RNAcentral
GGGGAUUUAGCUCAGGGGUAGAGCGCUUGCCUAGCAAGCACAAGGCCCUGGGUUCGGUCCCCAGCUCCG